AUGUGUAGAUAUGCUCUUUUAUUUGUGCGAAGUUGUUCAGACUUUUCUUUGAUUCAUUAUUUUAGCUGCAUACAAAAGGAGUAUGAGUACUGUUUGGUUCCAUGCAGGACCAACCAAGGAAGAGAAGCAAAUCACAACCCUUUAGUUCAUGGUCUAGGAGCAGGAAGAUACACAUCCAUCUUUGUGAUAUUCUGGGCUUCUCUACACUGGUACGGUCUCUCGCUGGUACAUGAUUUGAGGCAUAGGAGGGAGGGGCACGUUGCGAUGUCGUCUUUGGUCACGGCUAUAGCUUAUGAGAAGAAUGGGAUUUAUGCUUGGGAGACUGCCCGUGGUUAG
Molecule: ribosomal RNA, 336 nt
Filed under: Triticum aestivum (bread wheat)
Lineage: Eukaryota; Viridiplantae; Streptophyta; Magnoliopsida; Poales; Poaceae
Description: partial small subunit ribosomal RNA
Source: RNAcentral